This 352-nucleotide unclassified non-coding RNA is filed under the name soil metagenome. Its description in RNAcentral is "partial contains 5.8S ribosomal RNA, internal transcribed spacer 2, and large subunit ribosomal RNA". The stretch from base 1 to 120 matches the Rfam family "5.8S ribosomal RNA", at positions 35 to 154 of the family's 154-position model. The record is from RNAcentral.
GAUGAAGAACGUAGCGAAAUGCGAUAAGUAAUGUGAAUUGCAGAAUUCAGUGAAUCAACGAAUCUUUGAACGCACAUUGCGCCCGCCAGUAUUCUGGCGGGCAUGCCUGUUCGAGCGUCAUUACAACCCUCAGGCCCCCGGGCCUGGCGUUGGGGAUCGGCGGAGCCCCCCGUGGGCACACGCCGUCCCCCAAAUACAGUGGCGGUCCCGCCGCAGCUUCCAUCGCGUAGUAGCUAACACCUCGCGACUGGAGAGCGGCGCGGCCACGCCGUAAAACACCCAACUCUUCUGAAGUUGACCUCGAAUCAGGUAGGAAUACCCGCUGAACUUAAGCAUAUCAAUAAGCGGAGGA